This 600-nucleotide ribosomal RNA is filed under the name uncultured bacterium. RNAcentral describes it as "bacterial SSU rRNA". The stretch from base 1 to 465 matches the Rfam family "Bacterial small subunit ribosomal RNA", at positions 91 to 541 of the family's 1533-position model. The record is from RNAcentral.
GCGAGCGGCGGACGGGUGAGUAUGCUGGGAAAUUGCCCAGUCGAGGGGGAUAACAGUUGGAAACGACUGCUAAUACCCCAUACGCCCUACGGGGGAAAGCAGGGGACCUUCGGGCCUUGCGCGAUUAGAUAUGCCCAGGUGGGAUUAGCUAGUUGGUGAGGUAAUGGCUCACCAAGGCGACGAUCCCUAGCUGGUCUGAGAGGAUGAUCAGCACACUGGAACUGAGACACGGUCCAGACUCCUACGGGAGGCAGCAGUGGGGAAUAUUGCACAAUGGGGGAAACCCUGAUGCAGCCAUGCCGCGUGUGUGAACGAAGGCCUUCGGGUUGUAAAGCACUUUCAGCGAGGAGGACAAGGUUGUGGCUUAAUACCAAAAGCUGUGACGUUACUCGCAGAAGAACGCCACCUGGCUAAGUCCGUAGACAUGCCAUGCCGCGGGNAAAUCACCGGAGGGUUGCANAGCGUCUCAANCGGGAAUUACACUGGGCNGUUAAGGCGCAAUGCCAGGUGCGGUCUUUGAGAAUAACAGACUUCGAACGCGAACCUGGCUUGGAAAAAGGCCCCCACCCAGGAGUGGGAGANUAUCACCCAAACCACCCC